UUUCCGUAGGUGAACCUGCGGAAGGACCAUUACAGAGUUCAUGCCCGACAGGGUAGACCUCCCACCCUUGUGUAUUAUUACUUUGUUGCUUUGGCGGGCUAAAGCGCGCCAGAGAAUAUCAAAACUCUUUUUAUUAAUGUCGUCUGAGUACUAUAUAAUAGUUAAAACUUUCAACAACGGAUCCCUUGGUUCUG
This 194-nucleotide unclassified non-coding RNA is filed under the name plant metagenome. RNAcentral's name for it is "partial contains small subunit ribosomal RNA, internal transcribed spacer 1, and 5.8S ribosomal RNA". The record is from RNAcentral.